Molecule: microRNA, 20 nt
Filed under: Sphaeroforma napiecek
Lineage: Eukaryota; Ichthyosporea; Ichthyophonida
Also listed under: 1 other name
Description: Sna-Mir-Nov-2_star
Source: RNAcentral
ACAUAUGUCUGUGCUCGCUC